AGUGAAGCGGCAAAAGCUCAAAUUUGAAAUCUGGCGUCUUUGGCGUCCGAGUUGUAAUUUGAAGAAGGUAUCUUUGGGCCCGGCUCUUGUCUAUGUUCCUUGGAACAGGACGUCACAGAGGGUGAGAAUCCCGUGCGAUGAGAUGACCCGGGUCUGUGUAAAGUUCCUUCGACGAGUCGAGUUGUUUGGGAAUGCAGCUCUAAGUGGGUGGUAAAUUCCAUCUAAAGCUAAAUAUUGGCGAGAGACCGAUAGCGAACAAGUACAGUGAUGGAAAGAUGAAAAGAACUUUGAAAAGAGAGUGAAAAAGUACGUGAAAUUGUUGAAAGGGAAGGGCUUGAGAUCAGACUUGGUAUUUUGCAUGCUGCUCUCUCGGGGGCGGCCGCUGCGGUUUACCGGGCCAGCAUCGGUUUGGAGCGGCGGGAUAAUGGCGGAGGAAUGUGGCACGGCUUCUGCUGUGUGUUAUAGCCUCUGAC
Molecule: ribosomal RNA, 473 nt
Filed under: Candida albicans
Lineage: Eukaryota; Fungi; Ascomycota; Pichiomycetes; Serinales; Debaryomycetaceae
Description: eukaryotic LSU rRNA
Rfam family: Eukaryotic large subunit ribosomal RNA
Source: RNAcentral